This 499-nucleotide ribosomal RNA is filed under the name uncultured bacterium. RNAcentral describes it as "bacterial SSU rRNA". It matches the Rfam family "Bacterial small subunit ribosomal RNA", at positions 30 to 524 of the family's 1533-position model. The record is from RNAcentral.
AUUGAACGCUGGCGGAAUGCUUUACACAUGCAAGUCGAACGGCAGCACGGGGCAACCUGGUGGCGAGUGGCGAACGGGUGAGUAAUACAUCGGAACGUGCCCAAUCGUGGGGGAUAACGUAGCGAAAGUUACGCUAAUACCGCAUACGAUCUACGGAUGAAAGCGGGGGAUCGCAAGACCUCGCGCGAGUGGAGCGGCCGAUGUCAGAUUAGGUAGUUGGUGGGGUAAAGGCUCACCAAGCCAACGAUCUGUAGCUGGUCUGAGAGGACGACCAGCCACACUGGAACUGAGACACGGUCCAGACUCCUACGGGAGGCAGCAGUGGGGAAUUUUGGACAAUGGGCGCAAGCCUGAUCCAGCCAUUCCGCGUGCAGGAUGAAGGCCUUCGGGUUGUAAACUGCUUUUGUACGGAACGAAACGGCGAGCUCUAAUACAGUUUGCUAAUGACGGUACCGUAAGAAUAAGCACCGGCUAACUACGUGCCAGCAGCCGCGGUAAU